UCAAGAAUAUUCCUCAAUGGACGAAAGUCUGAAGGAGCGACGCCGCGUGACCGAUGAAGUCCCUCGGGAUGUAAAGGUCUUUUCUAAAGGAAGAAACAAUGACGGUACUUUAGGAAUAAGAGGUUGCUAACUCUGUGCCAGCAGCAGCGGUAAUACAGAGACCUCGAGCGUUAUCCGGAUUGAUUGGGUGUAAAGCGUGCGCAGGCGGCUUAUUAAGCUAAUGGUCAAAUUUUGCGGCUCAACCGCAGAACUGCCAUUGGAACUGGUAGGCUAGAGUAUGGAAGAGGCUAGCGGAAUUGCCGGUGUAACGGUAAAAUGUGUUAAUAUCGGCAAGAACACCAGAGGCGAAAGCGGCUAGCUGGUACAUUACUGACGCUGUGGCACGAAAGCGUGGGGAGCG
Molecule: ribosomal RNA, 400 nt
Filed under: uncultured bacterium
Lineage: Bacteria
Description: bacterial SSU rRNA
Rfam family: Bacterial small subunit ribosomal RNA
Source: RNAcentral